This 514-nucleotide ribosomal RNA is filed under the name uncultured bacterium. Its description in RNAcentral is "bacterial SSU rRNA". It matches the Rfam family "Bacterial small subunit ribosomal RNA", at positions 21 to 518 of the family's 1533-position model. The record is from RNAcentral.
GGCUCAGGAUGAACGCUGGCGGCGUGCCUAACACAUGCAAGUCGAACGGAAGCUUAACGCUGACGAGACUUCGGUCAAAUCUUGUUAAGCUUUAGUGGCGGACGGGUGAGUAACGCGUGGGCAACCUGCCUCAUACUGGGGGAUAACAGUUGGAAACGACUGUUAAUACCGCAUAAGCGCACUAAAGUCGCAUGACUCAGUGUGAAAAACUCCGGUGGUAUGAGAUGGGCCCGCGUCAGAUUAGCUAGUUGGUGGGGUAAAGGCCUACCAAGGCGACGAUCUGUAGCCGGACUGAGAGGUCGGACGGCCACAUUGGGACUGAGACACGGCCCAAACUCCUACGGGAGGCAGCAGUGGGGGAUAUUGCACAAUGGAGGAAACUCUGAUGCAGCGACGCCGCGUGAGUGAAGAAGUAUUUCGGUAUGUAAAGCUCUAUCAGCAGGGAAGAAAGGCUCGAAAGAGAGAUGACGGUACCUGACUAAGAAGCCCCGGCUAACUACGUGCCAGCCGCGGC